UUUCGAUCUCUUUGAACAAUAGCAUGCGCAAGGAGACAAGGUGAAAAGUUCAACCCUGAUGAAGACAUCUUACUUCAUCCUCACGACCCUCAGUGCCCACCACCAGAAGGCACCGCGCAAGCGCAGACGGGAGGAGUUUAUGGAAAUGACUUCUUGGAGCUAAUUUUAAUACUAAGCGGGGACAGGUUAUGCAUAUGUAUAGGCGUACUGGGA
Molecule: long non-coding RNA, 213 nt
Organism: Cygnus olor (mute swan)
Lineage: Eukaryota; Metazoa; Chordata; Aves; Anseriformes; Anatidae
Exons: 3
Source: RefSeq, a predicted model, not a curated record